This is a long non-coding RNA of Toxorhynchites rutilus septentrionalis, 1359 nucleotides long. RefSeq lists it as uncharacterized. NCBI's taxonomy places the organism in Eukaryota, Metazoa, Arthropoda, Insecta, Diptera, Culicidae. The transcript is spliced from 3 exons. The record is from RefSeq and is a predicted model, not a curated record.
GAAUUCGCGUCAUAGAAGGUACGGUGUCGCCACCUAUGAAAGUUUCGCGUGUGAGUGAAAAAUAUGUAAACAAACCGUUGCAUAUUUUCUCUGUAAUUAAUAUUCUGAUUUCUCGAAAACUUGUACCGUGUUUAUCUUACAAUUAGUGGAAAUUGUUGAAAAAUAGUUUUUCUUAGCUGUUUCGAUGUUCCGAACCAAAAUUUAUUGCCAUUUAGUAGUGAAAAAAAGCCGUUGAAGUACACCCUCUGUCAAUCUACCUGCGAGAGAGAACGUGUGAAAUAUGGACGUCAAAAGCUGCGCAAAUUGUCCGGAGAACAUGCAAGUCGGACGAAUUUUGCUUGGAGCUGACUCCGAACAAUCUGCAAAAUUCAAAAGCCGUUUCGUUUGUGUCGUCCCCGGAUGUAAGCAGAGAUAUCGCCCCGGAAUUUCUUUUCAUGCCUUCCCUCCGAAAACGGACAAAACGCGGUAUCUAGACUGGAUCCAACGACUACGGCUAAAGGUAGAACCUACAAAAACCUCCCGUAUUUGUAGCCUCAUUUCACCGUGUCGAACUUCUACUCUCCAACAACAAGCCGUGCCACUGAUCGCUUAAUUCUUAGGCCAUCAGCAGUUCCCGACUUGAAUUUGCCACAACCUCCCAUCAGCGAAGCCAGGAAAAGACUUAUUGAGGGCCGUGCUGAACGUGCUGCAAACCGUGCCAAAGUUGGGGCAGCGAUGGACCAGAGACAUGAUACACCAAACCUUUCAGAUCUUGCCAUCAGAGGCGAAUUAAUUACUUAUGAUUCAAAACACGUUAUUGCGCAUUUUGCACCAAGUUGGACUGUUUCGGCCUUUUCCAUAAGUGCGAAAAUACGAAUAAAAGUGCGCUCUAACAUCGAAUCAUGUUGGUGUCUUCAGCGCACUUAUUCUUCGAUUGAUAACGAAUAAGUGCGCUGAAGACAGCAAAUCGAUUUGAUGCAAGGUCGCACUUUUAUUCACAUUUUCGCACUUUUGAAAAAGUGUGAAACAGUCCAACUUGGUGCAAAAUGUGCAAUAAUAAAGAAAUAAAAUAAAACAUACUUAAGCAAAUGAUACAAAACAGCCAUGACGUGUUUGCACUUCCCUUUGCCAGCUUUACAGGAACACGAAAACAACCAUUUGGAGAAGGAGAUUUUCGUACGAAUUUUUAUUGUAUGGGGUUCCGAGCUUGGAGAUGAUGACUGGAGGCAGGACGAGAAAAUACUGAAGCCUUCAUCGUGAACUUCUUCAACACCAACUAUUAAAAGAUGUCCAGCUUUGAAUACUCUUUCGCCUUCGACGACUAAACGGCUUCCACCCGCAGCGUAAUCGAACACAUCCGCAAACUCCACAGCCACGUAG